UGCCCUUGGACACAAAUAUAUCAUGAGUGAACAUGGAGACAGGAAGCAAAAAAGUUGUGCCAGCUGUGGGGUACUACAAAGCAUUGUAUUUUUCAAUUUUUUAACUAUGAAGUUGCCUUUUCUGGGUCUUUGUAGUCAGAAAAAAAUCAUACGGUGAAUUUUGAUGCAGGAGCUGAUAGACUACCUGCGAACACAUUCUCAUAGUGCAGUGUAUGCCACGUCAUUGUCACCUCCUGUAGUGGAGCAGAUCAUCACCUCCAUGA
RNAcentral lists this small RNA (263 nucleotides) under Pan troglodytes (chimpanzee). Its description in RNAcentral is "processed transcript". The record is from RNAcentral. Lineage: Eukaryota; Metazoa; Chordata; Mammalia; Primates; Hominidae.